GUCCACGCCCUAAACGAUGUCAACUGGUUGUUGGGGAAGGAAACUUCCUUAGUAACGAAGCUAACGCGUGAAGUUGACCGCCUGGGGAGUACGGCCGCAAGGUUAAAACUCAAAGGAAUUGACGGGGACCCGCACAAGCGGUGGAUGAUGUGGAUUAAUUCGAUGCAACGCGAAAAACCUUACCUACCCUUGACAUGCCAGGAAGCUUGCUGAGAGGCGAGUGUGCCCGAAAGGGAGCCUGGACACAGGUGCUGCAUGGCUGUCGU
RNAcentral lists this ribosomal RNA (266 nucleotides) under uncultured bacterium. Its description in RNAcentral is "partial 16S ribosomal RNA". It matches the Rfam family "Bacterial small subunit ribosomal RNA", at positions 793 to 1055 of the family's 1533-position model. The record is from RNAcentral.